UACGGAGGGAGCUAGCGUUGUUCGGAAUUACUGGGCGUAAAGCGCACGUAGGCGGCUUUGUAAGUUAGAGGUGAAAGCCCGGAGCUCAACUCCGGAAUUGCCUUUAAGACUGCAUCGCUAGAAUCAUGGAGAGGUGAGUGGAAUUCCGAGUGUAGAGGUGAAAUUCGUAGAUAUUCGGAAGAACACCAGUGGCGAAGGCGACUCACUGGACAUGUAUUGACGCUGAGGUGCGAAAGCGUGGGGAACAAACAGG
This 253-nucleotide ribosomal RNA is filed under the name uncultured bacterium. RNAcentral's name for it is "partial 16S ribosomal RNA". It matches the Rfam family "Bacterial small subunit ribosomal RNA", at positions 524 to 776 of the family's 1533-position model. The record is from RNAcentral.